AAACCGGUACCCAGUUCGGAUUGUAGGCUGCAACUCGCCUACAUGAAGUCGGAGUUGCUAGUAAUCGCGGAUCAGAAUGCCGCGGUGAAUGCGUUCCCGGGUCUUGUACACACCGCCCGUCACACCAUGGAAGUUGGGGGCGCCCGAAGUUGGUCGAGGAAUAGAUUACCUAAGGCGAAACCAAUGACUGGGGUGAAGUCGUAACAAGGUAAC
RNAcentral lists this ribosomal RNA (213 nucleotides) under uncultured bacterium. RNAcentral's name for it is "partial 16S ribosomal RNA". It matches the Rfam family "Bacterial small subunit ribosomal RNA", at positions 1278 to 1500 of the family's 1533-position model. The record is from RNAcentral.